GGGGAUUUGGCUCAGUGGUAGAGCACUUGCCUAGCAAGCGUAAGGUCCUGGGUUCGGUCCCCAGCUCCG
RNAcentral lists this transfer RNA (69 nucleotides) under Rattus norvegicus (Norway rat). It matches the Rfam family "tRNA". From Rfam's summary of the family: Transfer RNA (tRNA) molecules are approximately 80 nucleotides in length. Lineage: Eukaryota; Metazoa; Chordata; Mammalia; Rodentia; Muridae. The record is from Rfam by way of RNAcentral.